Molecule: long non-coding RNA, 650 nt
Organism: Elgaria multicarinata webbii
Lineage: Eukaryota; Metazoa; Chordata; Lepidosauria; Squamata; Anguidae
Exons: 4
Source: RefSeq, a predicted model, not a curated record
CCGCUGCUUUGGCCGUGGAGGCGCGGCUGCUGCUGCUGCUGCUGCUUCCUCCUUCCUGCUUGGAGCCGUGGCUCAGAGGCCUCCGCAGAUGCAGGGACUCGCAGAGGCGAGCCCUGGAGGUCUUGAACUGGUGGGGUGUGGAAGAGAUGGUUUUGCUGUAUUAUCAAGAAGUUCUGGGCAAAGAAAGGACCUGAAGAGAGACCAGCCAAGGAAAAGUUCUUGUACCCAUAGGCCAAAGCCAGUCAGGAAUUUUAUUUGAUGGGGAGGUAGCAACAGGGUCUCUCUAAUCAGACCUGUUAGCACUCACCAAAUUAACUAUUCUAAGGAUUUUUGGAGGGGAAGCCAUGUCCUUUGAGGCCUAGUCAAGAGGACAGAAUGAAGCAGAUCCACCCACAAGCAAAAAAGAAACUGAAACCUUUUUCCUUCUCUUGAGACAAUGGCAGUGCCCCCUAGAGGCAGAAAUGCAUCUUGCUCUUGCAUUUGAGAGUUGUAGUCUCAGUUUGCAACCUAGGACUUGCUUAUCUCGGUGCGCAGAAAUUGUAAUCUGAUACUGUACAUAGUUUUUAGAAAUUGUUUAGAGAAGUAAAUAUCUGAACACCUUGUCUUAAACUUUUUAUUCAUCAUGCUAAAAUAAACCAUUCCAUAAUCAA